RNAcentral lists this unclassified non-coding RNA (384 nucleotides) under uncultured bacterium. RNAcentral describes it as "contains 16S-23S intergenic spacer region". The record is from RNAcentral.
UCCUGGUUUCCCAGGCAGUCCCAUCAGAGUGCCCAUAAAAAUGGUUGCAACUGAUGGCAAGAGUUGCGCUCGUUAUAGGACUUAACCCAACAUCUCACGACACGAGCUGACGACAGCCAUGCAGCACCUGUGUACUUGUUUAGACCGAAGCCUAAAAGAUCGUAUUUCUACAACUGUCAAGUACAUGUCAAACCUAGGUAAGGUUCCUCGCGUAGUGUCGAAUUAAACCACAUGUUCCACCGCUUGUGCGGGCCCCCGUCAAUUCUUUUGAGUUUUAGUCUUGCGACCGUAGUCCCCAGGCGGAUCACUUAACGCGUUAGCUCCGACACUGAUCCCGCAAAGCAGGACCAACAUCAAGUGAUCAUCGUUUACAGCGUGGACUAC